RNAcentral lists this ribosomal RNA (404 nucleotides) under uncultured bacterium. Its description in RNAcentral is "bacterial SSU rRNA". It matches the Rfam family "Bacterial small subunit ribosomal RNA", at positions 359 to 775 of the family's 1533-position model. The record is from RNAcentral.
GAAUCUUGCGCAAUGGGCGAAAGCCUGACGCAGCGACGCCGCGUGCGGGAAGAAGGCCUUCGGGUUGUAAACCGCUUUCAGGAGGGAAGAAGCGUAAGUGACGGUACCUCCAGAAGAAGCCCCGGCCAACUACGUGCCAGCAGCUGCGGUAAUACGUAGGGGGCGAGCGUUGUCCGGAAUUAUUGGGCGUAAAGAGCUCGUAGGCGGUCCGUUAAGUCGGAAGUGAAAUCUCAAGGCUCAACCUUGAAACUGCUUUCGAUACUGGCGGACUUGAGGCAGGUAGGGGAAGGUGGAAUUCCUGGUGUAGCGGUGAAAUGCGCAGAUAUCAGGAGGAACACCGGUGGCGAAGGCGGCCUUCUGGGCCUGUUCUGACGCUGAGGAGCGAAAGCGUGGGGAGCAAACAG